UACGUAGGGUGCGAGCGUUAAUUGGAAUUACUGGGCGUAAAGCGUGCGCAGGCGGUUCGUUAAGUCAGCUGUGAAAGCCCCGGGCUCAACCUGGGAAUUGCGGUUGAAACUGGCGAACUAGAAUCUGGCAGAGGGGGGUGGAAUUCCACGUGUAGCAGUGAAAUGCGUGGAGAUGUGGAGGAACACCGAUGGCGAAGGCAGCCCCCUGGGCUGAGAUUGACGCUCAGGCACGAAAGCGUGGGGAGCAAACAGG
Molecule: ribosomal RNA, 253 nt
Filed under: uncultured bacterium
Lineage: Bacteria
Description: partial 16S ribosomal RNA
Rfam family: Bacterial small subunit ribosomal RNA
Source: RNAcentral